RNAcentral lists this ribosomal RNA (904 nucleotides) under uncultured bacterium. Its description in RNAcentral is "bacterial SSU rRNA". It matches the Rfam family "Bacterial small subunit ribosomal RNA", at positions 23 to 925 of the family's 1533-position model. The record is from RNAcentral.
CUCAGGAUGAACGCUGGCGGCGUGCCUAAUACAUGCAAGUCGAACGAAUCUCUUUUAGAGAUGAGUGGCGAACGGGUGAGUAAUACAUAGGUAACCUGCCCCUGUGCGGGGGAUAACAGGAGGAAACUCCUGCUAAUACCGCAUAGCCAUGAGCACCGCAUGGAGCUCAUGCCAAAUAUCCUUUAUGGGAUAGCGCAGGGAUGGACCUAUGGCGCAUUAGCUGGUUGGCGGGGCAACGGCCCACCAAGGCAACGAUGCGUAGCCGGCCUGAGAGGGCGGACGGCCACAUUGGGACUGAGACACGGCCCAGACUCCUACGGGAGGCAGCAGUAGGGAAUUUUCGGCAAUGGGGGAAACCCUGACCGAGCAACGCCGCGUGAGCGAAGAAGGCCUUCGGGUCGUAAAGCUCUGUUGUAAAGGAAGAACGGCGCAUACAGGAAAUGGUAUGCGAGUGACGGUACUUUACCAGAAAGCCACGGCUAACUACGUGCCAGCAGCCGCGGUAAUACGUAGGUGGCGAGCGUUAUCCGGAAUCAUUGGGCGUAAAGAGGGAGCAGGCGGCCGCAAGGGUCUGUGGUGAAAGACCGAAGCUAAACUUCGGUAAGCCAUGGAAACCGGGCGGCUAGAGUGCGGAAGAGGAUCGUGGAAUUCCAUGUGUAGCGGUGAAAUGCGUAGAUAUAUGGAGGAACACCAGUGGCGAAGGCGACGGUCUGGGCCGCAACUGACGCUCAUUCCCGAAAGCGUGGGGAGCAAAUAGGAUUAGAUACCCUAGUAGUCCACGCCGUAAACGAUGGUCACUAAGUGUCGGGGGUCAAACCCCGGUGCUGCAGUCAACGCAAUAAGUGACCCGCCUGAGUAGUACGUUCGCAAGAAUGAAACUCAAAGGAAUUGACGGAAGGGCGAA